Molecule: transfer RNA, 101 nt
Filed under: Tilletia controversa (dwarf bunt fungus)
Lineage: Eukaryota; Fungi; Basidiomycota; Exobasidiomycetes; Tilletiales; Tilletiaceae
Rfam family: tRNA
About the family: Transfer RNA (tRNA) molecules are approximately 80 nucleotides in length.
Source: Rfam by way of RNAcentral
CCCUUGGUAGCUCAGUUGGUAGAGCGGUAGACUGUAAUUGGAUAAUAUAUAAUCUCGCAGCACCCAUCUAUAGGUCGCUGGUUCGACUCCGGCUCGAGGGA